Molecule: ribosomal RNA, 118 nt
Organism: Cavia aperea (Brazilian guinea pig)
Lineage: Eukaryota; Metazoa; Chordata; Mammalia; Rodentia; Caviidae
Source: Ensembl
GCCAACAAGAAAACUGUCUUAACGUGCCUGAUCUCGUCUGAUCUCGGAAGCUAAGCAGGGUCAGGCCUGGUUAGUACUUGGAUGGGAGACCGCCUGGGAAUACUGGGUGCUGUAGGCU